RNAcentral lists this small nucleolar RNA (319 nucleotides) under Salvator merianae (Argentine black and white tegu). Lineage: Eukaryota; Metazoa; Chordata; Lepidosauria; Squamata; Teiidae. The record is from RNAcentral.
GUUUCAUGAUGAUGUCAAGGCAAAUGUGACCUCAUUGCCAGGCUGCUCCCUCAUCCUAUUCCCUAUAUAAAAGUCUGUAAUCUUGGUGGUCAACACAGAGAAAUGUGUGUUCACUGUAAGGGCAGACUGACAGAGUAUCCCCUGCUUCUGCCCUUCUCUUCGGAGGAGGUAUCCCAUUUCUUUGCAAAGUAUUGCAAGGAAUGGUCAGAGGUGUGGGUACAAGACAAGUUUAGUGUGCCUGGGUUAUAGGGUGCUGGGUGCUGCCAGAGUAAUGGUCGUUGAGGAAUCAUGAGCACAAGUCUUUGGUAAUCUGAAAGCU